Molecule: transfer RNA, 73 nt
Filed under: Salmonella phage NINP13076
Lineage: Duplodnaviria; Heunggongvirae; Uroviricota; Caudoviricetes
Rfam family: tRNA
About the family: Transfer RNA (tRNA) molecules are approximately 80 nucleotides in length. Their secondary structure includes four short double-helical elements and three loops (D, anti-codon, and T loops). Further hydrogen bonds mediate the characteristic L-shaped molecular structure. tRNAs have two regions of fundamental functional importance: the anti-codon, which is responsible for specific mRNA codon recognition, and the 3' end, to which the tRNAs corresponding amino acid is attached (by aminoacyl-tRNA synthetases). tRNAs cope with the degeneracy of the genetic code in two manners: having more than one tRNA (with a specific anti-codon) for a particular amino acid; and 'wobble' base-pairing, i.e. permitting non-standard base-pairing at the 3rd anti-codon position.
Source: Rfam by way of RNAcentral
GGGUCGGUAGCCGAGCGGUCAGGCAUACGCCUUUUAAGCGUAAAGACGUUGGGUUCGAAUCCCACCCGACCCA